AACGAACGCUGGCGGCAGGCUUAACACAUGCAAGUCGAGCGCCCCCGCAAGGGGAGCGGCAGACGGGUGAGUAACGCGUGGGAAUCUACCCAGUUCUACGGAAUAACACAGGGAAACUUGUGCUAAUACCGUAUACGCCCUACGGGGGAAAGAUUUAUCGGAAUUGGAUGAGCCCGCGUUGGAUUAGCUAGUUGGUGGGGUAAUGGCCUACCAAGGCGACGAUCCAUAGCUGGUCUGAGAGGAUGAUCAGCCACACUGGGACUGAGACACGGCCCAGACUCCUACGGGAGGCAGCAGUGGGGAAUAUUGGACAAUGGGCGAAAGCCUGAUCCAGCCAUGCCGCGUGAGUGAUGAAGGCCCUAGGGUUGUAAAGCUCUUUCGCCCGCGAAGAUAAUGACUGUAGCGGGAGAAGAAGCCCCGGCUAACUUCGUGCCAGCAGCCGCGGUAAU
Molecule: ribosomal RNA, 449 nt
Filed under: uncultured bacterium
Lineage: Bacteria
Description: bacterial SSU rRNA
Rfam family: Bacterial small subunit ribosomal RNA
Source: RNAcentral